UGAGGCUUUGGUUGCUCUUGCACAAUCCUGUUCAAAUGCCUCCCCAGGUCUACAAGAGAGAGCUGCUGGAGCUCUUUGGGGAUUGUCAGUGUCAGAAGCCAAUAGCAUUGCCAUUGGACGGGAAGGAGGUGUUCCACCUCUGAUUGCUCUGGCACGAUCUGAGGCUGAGGAUGUCCAUGAAACUGCAGCAGCCCUCUCUUGUAGACCAGGCGCUCUGCAGAUAGUAGAGGAAGGUGGAGUUCCGGCACUUGUGCAUCUAUGUUCUUCAUCAGUAUCAAA
RNAcentral lists this unclassified non-coding RNA (279 nucleotides) under Hevea brasiliensis (rubber tree). Lineage: Eukaryota; Viridiplantae; Streptophyta; Magnoliopsida; Malpighiales; Euphorbiaceae. The record is from RNAcentral.